AAUAUAUAGUAUUGUUAAUUAACCUCAGUAGUUAAUGUGUACUUUGAGUAAUACCAUGAUUCUUUGAAGAACGCAAUGUGCUAAAGUGCGUGUGCAACAGGUCUCGAGGUCUACAGUACUGGCAAUCAGCAGAUGUGACGUCGUGUAGAACCCAGAGGGAGCGGAGUUUGAUUCAUCUUGCGACAGUCGUACAAACGUCUUGUGCCCUGCUUAAUAUGCAAAAAAAAACAAGGUCUUGAUGUGGACAACAAACGUUCAAUCUGUAAAGUUCCAGGUUUUUUUUCACAAUUAUGAACAACUCCACUCGCAAGCCUCUAUAAUAAGAUAGUGCUGAUGCUGAUUUUUUUUUUUUUAUCUUACAAUAAUAUAUAGUAUUGUUAAUUAACCUCAGUAGUUAAUGUGUACUUUGAGUAAUACCAUUGUCAUAGCGCCCCUAAACACUGCAUUUUGUCAUGGAUGUUGCCGCUAUACAAAUCCUUUUUGAUUGAUUGAUGCUGUCAUUUAAAUAAAUUUUUAUUUAAUUUCAGAAAUCUACUUGAAGAUCAAGUUGUUGUACACAAGAACUUGACAGUGUCCUUGUUCUUCGCUCAACUUAUAUUCCUGACAGCUGUAAAUGCAACAAAAAAUACUACUGUGUGUCAGAUUGUCGCUAUCAGUUUGCAUUUCUUUUACACCGCAUCGUUCUGUUGGAUGUUAGUGGAAGGCAUCAACUUGUACUUUAAGGUUGUCAGGGUGUUCAACAAAAGUAACAAGCUACGAUGCUUCUACCUUAUUGGAUGGGGCACACCAGUUAUUAUUGUGGGUAUUUCAUUUGGCAUUGGUGCAAAUGGAUAUGGGACAGAUGAUUAGU
Molecule: long non-coding RNA, 850 nt
Organism: Anneissia japonica
Lineage: Eukaryota; Metazoa; Echinodermata; Crinoidea; Comatulida; Comatulidae
Exons: 3
Source: RefSeq, a predicted model, not a curated record